RNAcentral lists this long non-coding RNA (211 nucleotides) under Elaeis guineensis (African oil palm). Its description in RNAcentral is "long non-coding RNA (EGUI_LNC065870)". Lineage: Eukaryota; Viridiplantae; Streptophyta; Magnoliopsida; Arecales; Arecaceae. The record is from RNAcentral.
GGGGAUGGCUUAUAGGGGGCCCAAGUGGAAGUGGCAUAGGAUCAGUGUAAAUCCGACGAUAUAGGCAUCGCCACAUUAUCAAUCUCGUUUGGUAAUUGGCUGGGUGCUGAUAUUCAUGAAACCACUUGGAUCACAUGAUGUUGCUCAGAUCAUGUGCUUUGAACCGUCAGAUUAUGAUGCCAAGCAUCUACCACAUCUUCAAAAAUUGGAU